This 78-nucleotide microRNA precursor is filed under the name Trichobilharzia regenti. Its description in RNAcentral is "mir-3492 microRNA precursor family". It matches the Rfam family "mir-3492 microRNA precursor family". The record is from Rfam by way of RNAcentral. Lineage: Eukaryota; Metazoa; Platyhelminthes; Trematoda; Strigeidida; Schistosomatidae.
AGCUUUCUGUAUCCGUGCUGAGAUUUCGUCAGAGAUCAACCCGUUAGGGUUGAUGCAACUUCCCAAAUAAGUGAAGUG